UACGUAGGGGGCAAGCGUUGUCCGGAUUUAUUGGGCGUAAAGAGCGUGUAGGCGGUCAGGUAGGUCCGUUGUGAAAACUCGAGGCUCAACCUCGAGACGCCGAUGGAAACCAUCUGACUAGAGUUCGGAAGAGGAGAGUGGAAUUCCUGGUGUAGCGGUGAAAUGCGCAGAUAUCAGGAAGAACACCCGUGGCUAAGGCGGCUCUCUAGUACGGUACUGACGCUGAGACGCGAAAGCGUGGGGAGCGAACAGG
This 253-nucleotide ribosomal RNA is filed under the name uncultured bacterium. Its description in RNAcentral is "partial 16S ribosomal RNA". It matches the Rfam family "Bacterial small subunit ribosomal RNA", at positions 524 to 776 of the family's 1533-position model. The record is from RNAcentral.